Molecule: ribosomal RNA, 497 nt
Filed under: uncultured bacterium
Lineage: Bacteria
Description: partial 16S ribosomal RNA
Rfam family: Bacterial small subunit ribosomal RNA
Source: RNAcentral
GACGAACGCUGGCGGCGUGCCUAAUACAUGCAAGUUGAGCGCUGAAGGUUGGUACUUGUACCAACUGGAUGAGCAGCGAACGGGUGAGUAACGCGUGGGGAAUCUGCCUUUGAGCGGGGGACAACAUUUGGGAACGAAUGCUAAUACCGCAUAAAAACUUUAAACACAAGUUUUAAGUUUGAAAGAUGCAAUUGCAUCACUCAAAGAUGAUCCCGCGUUGUAUUAGCUAGUUGGUGAGGUAAAGGCUCACCAAGGCGAUGAUACAUAGCCGACCUGAGAGGGUGAUCGGCCACAUUGGGACUGGGACACGGCCCAAACUCCUACGGGAGGCAGCAGUAGGGAAUCUUCGGCAAUGGACGAAAGUCUGACCGAGCAACGCCGCGUGAGUGAAGAAGGUUUUCGGAUCGUAAAACUCUGUUGGUAGAGAAGAACGUUGGUGAGAGUGGAAAGCUCAUCAAGUGACGGUAACUACCCAGAAAGGGACGGCUAACUACGUG